RNAcentral lists this long non-coding RNA (810 nucleotides) under Citrus sinensis (sweet orange). Its description in RNAcentral is "long non-coding RNA (CSIN_LNC000653)". The record is from RNAcentral. Lineage: Eukaryota; Viridiplantae; Streptophyta; Magnoliopsida; Sapindales; Rutaceae.
CGAUCAGAAAAACCAAAAUAAUUUUAUGUUCUUACAUCACCAAGAAUAUUCUUUAAUUACAAGCAAAGAAAAUACAUGAACAUUAUAUCUGCACCAAGGUAGCCAAAUCGACAAAAUAUGGCUUCCAUUUUACCUUUUAGUAUCUUCACAACACCAGGUAGUUGCUUCAUCUUCUAUACAGGUAGGUUCCCAAACAAAAAAAGUAUAGAACUUGACUUGGCAAUGACGGGAGAACUAGAAUAACAAGGGACUACUAGCUUCUUCACCUCAGGUAUCAUAUCAUUUCUCCUUGUCAAUUGUUGCCUUAGUUUAUAUAUAACUUCAUAUUUGCUGAAGACAUCGCAGCCAGAUCCUGAGACAGAUGGUGAAUCAGAGAACAGUUUGAAUGAUGAAAUGGCUUUGGAGGGAACUCAAGGCGAUCAUGGGAUGGUGCCGACCUACCUACAUAACCCCAUUCUUGUUACUAAAUUCUGGGGCAUAAUAACAACUCAUUGAAAGCAAUUUUGCCGAGCCCGCUGGGCUAGUGGGCUUCACCAAAGCGGGGUCGUGAAUGAUCGCCUCAGAGGCAAGAAAAAAUGAAAAUUAGUUUAUGCAAUUUGAUUGCAAUUUAAAGAAUGAACAACUUUCCUCCAAUUUUCUUACACGAGGACCGCACGCAAAUCGCAGUGCCUGCGAUGAAGAAAUUAACAUUAAGCCUCACAAUCUUAAUUAAUCUUAUGCGUGACAUUGGCGGUCACUUAUGCCUUCUGGCCUUUAUUACAAUUAUCAAUUGAGAAGGAUGUAUGAGGCCAACACUAAGUUACGUGUAAC